CCUACGGGAGGCAGCAGUGGGGAAUAUUGCGCAAUGGGCGAAAGCCUGACGCAGCGACGCCGCGUGAAGGAAGAAGGCUUUCGGGUUGUAAACUUCUUUUCUCAGGGACGAAGCAAGUGACGGUACCUGAGGAAUAAGCCACGGCUAACUACGUGCCAGCAGCCGCGGUAAUACGUAGGUGGCAAGCGUUAUCCGGAUUUACUGGGUGUAAAGGGCGUGUAGGCGGGAAAGCAAGUCAGAUGUGAAAACCAUGGGCUCAACCUGUGGCCUGCAUUUGAAACUGUUUUUCUUGAGUACUGGAGAGGCAGACGGAAUUCCUAGUGUAGCGGUGAAAUGCGUAGAUAUUAGGAGGAACACCAGUGGCGAAGGCGGUCUGCUGGGCAGCAACUGACGCUGAGGCGCGAAAGCGUGGGGAGCAAACAGGAUUAGAUACCCGGGUAGUC
This 443-nucleotide ribosomal RNA is filed under the name uncultured bacterium. RNAcentral's name for it is "partial 16S ribosomal RNA". It matches the Rfam family "Bacterial small subunit ribosomal RNA", at positions 338 to 795 of the family's 1533-position model. The record is from RNAcentral.